RNAcentral lists this ribosomal RNA (873 nucleotides) under Heterorhabditis sp. SGmtr13. RNAcentral's name for it is "eukaryotic LSU rRNA". The stretch from base 438 to 587 matches the Rfam family "5.8S ribosomal RNA". The record is from RNAcentral. Lineage: Eukaryota; Metazoa; Nematoda; Chromadorea; Rhabditida; Heterorhabditidae.
GAAAAACCUUUUUUUUUUAAUACCCCGGUCGGUUUAAAACCCGGCCCAAGCUUUUUUAGUUCCACCCCAUAUUGGGGCGGGAGGAAUUCUUAAUUUAUACCCUUUUUUUUUUCCCUUAAACGGGAUUUGCGACACUGUUUUAUGUUUUUCCCGCCGGUGGGUCCAACCAUUUUAUUUCCUCCUUGGUGUUUUAUAUUUUUUGAACCCCCUUGUUCGAGGAAAUGUAGGGUAGUCUUUUGGGGUGGAGCAUGGGGCUAACCCCAAUAACGGGGGUGCCGGCGCCGACUCAACAUCCUGCGAAAUUGGUAGUGGUAAGGAGGCUUUGGGGGACAGAGGACAGGGCGCCAUGGUUGGUUCAUUCGGGGCACCGCCCCACUGGGGUAAUGUAUUCCCAAUUAACUUGUUUCUAGUAAAAGGCUAAAUUAGUCAGUGGAAAAUAGCCUUAGCGAUGGAUCGGUUGAUUCGCGUAUCGAUGAAAAACGCAGCUAGCUGCGUUAUUUACCACGAAUUGCAGACGCUUAGAGUGGUGAAGUUUUGAACGCACAGCGCCGUUGGGUUUUCCCUUCGGCACGUCUGGCUCAGGGUUGUUUAAUAGACUUCGAUAUUGCUAGGAAGGCAGCAAUAUCGUGCACCGAACGGUGAUAGUGUCUAUAAAAUAGUGGUGCAUACCCCGUUUUAGGGUAAAAUAAAGGUCGUAAACUGAAACUUCUUCCGCCCGAGAAGUUAUAGGUAAUACUUAUGGAUGUGCCAUGUAUGAAAUAUGACGUGGUUAUAUACAUAAAUAGUAUUUCCUUGAAGUCUCAUUAUGCAACCUGAGCUCAGUCGUGAUUACCCGCCGAACUUAAGCAUAUCAUCAGCGGGAAAAGACCCCCG